RNAcentral lists this ribosomal RNA (170 nucleotides) under uncultured Allobrachymonas sp. Its description in RNAcentral is "uncultured Brachymonas sp. partial 16S ribosomal RNA". It matches the Rfam family "Bacterial small subunit ribosomal RNA", at positions 1214 to 1382 of the family's 1533-position model. Lineage: Bacteria; Pseudomonadati; Pseudomonadota; Betaproteobacteria; Burkholderiales; Comamonadaceae. The record is from RNAcentral.
CUACACACGUCAUACAAUGGCCGGUACAGGAGGGUAGCCAACCCGCGAGGGGGAGCCAAUCCCACAAAGCCGGCCGUAGUCCGGAUCGCAGUCUGCAACUCGACUGCGUGAAGUCGGAAUCGCUAGUAAUCGCGGAUCAGCAUGUCGCGGUGAAUACGUUCCCGGGUCUU